Non-coding RNA from Phrynosoma platyrhinos (Desert horned lizard), 72 nucleotides. NCBI's taxonomy places the organism in Eukaryota, Metazoa, Chordata, Lepidosauria, Squamata, Phrynosomatidae. The record is from the annotation of a GenBank genome assembly.
GCCAGUGUGGCAUAGUGGUUUGGGUAUUGGAUGAUGACUCUAAAGAGCAGAGUUCAAACCCCUGCAUGGCCA